GGGGACGACAUGGCUUCGACGAAGCUCGCGAAACCUCAGGUGCAUGCCGAGGACGUCACUUACCUCGUAAAUCAUGUGGCAAAAAAGAUAGUUGCCAACGACGACAACUACGCACUCGCGGCCUAAACACCCGUGAGCUGUCCACACCUGAUCGCCUGUGGUCGGUGUUCGGACAGGCAUAUUACACAGGCUAGCCCCGCGGAGAGCCCGGAUCCGCGCGGCGAAUCCUUAACGGGAUCGCGGUUGCCAGACCCUGGUCGUCGGGUCGGUCGCUGCUAAAACUAAAGACGGCGCUAAGCAUGUAGACCCUGUGGCGGAGGUGCUUCGGACGCGGGUUCGAUUCCCGCCGUCUCCACCA
RNAcentral lists this transfer-messenger RNA (358 nucleotides) under Spiribacter sp. 2438. It matches the Rfam family "transfer-messenger RNA". From Rfam's summary of the family: Bacterial tmRNA, also known as 10Sa RNA or SsrA, is named for its dual tRNA and mRNA-like properties. Its role is to liberate the mRNA from a stalled ribosome. Lineage: Bacteria; Pseudomonadati; Pseudomonadota; Gammaproteobacteria; Chromatiales; Ectothiorhodospiraceae. RNAcentral also lists the same sequence under 1 other name. The record is from Rfam by way of RNAcentral.